GACAGAGGUGCCGAGCGUUAGGCGGAAUCACUGGGCUUAAAGCGUGUGUAGGCGGGUCGUUAAGUGCCUUGUGAAAUCCCACCGCUCACCGGUGGAACUGCUUGGCAUACUGGCGGUCUUGAGCCACUUAGGGGCAACCGGAACAAACGGUGGAGCGGUGAAAUGCGUAGAUAUCGUUUGGAACGCCAAUGGUGAAAACAGGUUGCUGGGAGUGUGCUGACGCUGAGACACGAAAGCCAGGGGAGCAAACGGG
This 253-nucleotide ribosomal RNA is filed under the name uncultured bacterium. Its description in RNAcentral is "partial 16S ribosomal RNA". It matches the Rfam family "Bacterial small subunit ribosomal RNA", at positions 524 to 776 of the family's 1533-position model. The record is from RNAcentral.